GACGAACGCUGGCGGCGUGCUUAACACAUGCAAGUCGAACGGAAAGGCCCUGCUUUUGUGGGGUGCUCGAGUAGCGAACGGGUGAGUAACACGUGAGUAACCUGCCCUUGACUUUGGGAUAACUUCAGGAAACUGGGGCUAAUACCGGAUAGGAGCUCCGGCUGCAUGGUGGGGGUUGGAAAGUUUCGGCGGUUGGGGAUGGACUCGCGGCUUAUCAGCUUGUUGGUGGGGUAGUGGCUUACCAAGGCUUUGACGGGUAGCCGGCCUGAGAGGGUGACCGGCCACAUUGGGACUGAGAUACGGCCCAGACUCCUACGGGAGGCAGCAGUGGGGAAUAUUGCACAAUGGGCGGAAGCCUGAUGCAGCAACGCCGCGUGCGGGAUGACGGCCUUCGGGUUGUAAACCGCUUUCGCCUGUGACGAAGCGUGAGUGACGGUAAUGGGUAAAGAAGCACCGGCUAACUACGUG
Molecule: ribosomal RNA, 468 nt
Filed under: uncultured bacterium
Lineage: Bacteria
Description: partial 16S ribosomal RNA
Rfam family: Bacterial small subunit ribosomal RNA
Source: RNAcentral